Puccinia graminis f. sp. tritici is the source of this 99-nucleotide transfer RNA. It matches the Rfam family "tRNA". Rfam says of the family: Transfer RNA (tRNA) molecules are approximately 80 nucleotides in length. Their secondary structure includes four short double-helical elements and three loops (D, anti-codon, and T loops). The record is from Rfam. Lineage: Eukaryota; Fungi; Basidiomycota; Pucciniomycetes; Pucciniales; Pucciniaceae.
GCCCGGUUAGCUCAGUCGGUAGAGCAUUCGGCUUUUACGCGCCCCUCACGGGGUCAACAUGAGACCGAAAUGUCGGGGGUUCGAGCCCCCCAUUGGGCG